This is a long non-coding RNA of Notolabrus celidotus (New Zealand spotty), 698 nucleotides long. RefSeq lists it as uncharacterized. The transcript is spliced from 3 exons. The record is from RefSeq and is a predicted model, not a curated record. NCBI's taxonomy places the organism in Eukaryota, Metazoa, Chordata, Actinopteri, Labriformes, Labridae.
GCGGGGCUUAAGUGCUGCACUUGAUGAGUUGCACUUGUUGACAGAGACAGCUGAGCGCACAGACAGGAAAACAAGCAGACUACAUUUUGUACAAGAAGUACAGAGAAGCUCUCAGAGACAACAUGGUCUGACUGAUCAUCAACGCCUGCAGGUUUGCGGUGAGGAAGAUCCGAGCUGCGGUCAGAGGAGAGACGCAGUCGGGGAAACCCAGCAUCACAGAAUGUAGGCCGACCCCAGCAUACCGUGAGGUCAGGCUGAGCUCUGAGGAGCCAGCGUUGAUUACCAAACCUCCUCAGACGGGCAAUGUUGUUCGGAGGGAAGAGUGCGGAUCCUGAAAGUAAAUUGAGAGCUGGAGGGCAGAGAGGAGGCUCUCAGGAAAUAUACUGAAAACACACACACACUAACACACACACUCACACAGUAUCAUUAGUUUAACAUCAGACAUUUGACCCCGCCCCCCUCGGCCUUCAGCUCUCACGUUCACGUCAGGCUCGUCCUCACUGUUUCAGAGCAGAGAAUGGUGUGAUCAGCAGAGAGGAUGAAGGCCUGAUCACCAAGUCCUCCUCAGAGGAACCGAUCAGUCCGGAUCAAUAUGAAGACUCUGCUGAUGAAGCUGCACUCGUUCAUACGUUCAUACGAUCAUGUGUUCGUUAACUGUCUCUUUGAAACAUGUCAGUAAAGAAGAUUUCUAAUCUGAG